CAAUAGCGUAUAUUAAAGUUGUUGCAGUUAAAAAGCUCGUAGUUGGAUUUCGGGGCAGCCUGGCUGGUCCGCCGCAAGGCGAGUACUAGUCAGCCGCCCUUCCUCUCGAAAGCCCCGACUGCUCUUUAUUGCAGUGGUCGGGUAGUUCGGGACGUUUACUUUGAAAAAAUUAGAGUGUUCAAGGCAGGCCUACGCCUGAAUACAUUAGCAUGGAAUAAUGGAAGAGGACCUCGGUCCUAUUUUGUUGGUUUCCAGGACCGAAGUAAUGAUUAAGAGGGACAGUUGGGGGCAUUCGUAUUUAAUUGUCAGAGGUGAAAUUCUCGGAUUUAUGAAAGACGAACAACUGCGAAAGCAUUUGCCAAGGAUGUUUUCAUUAA
This 377-nucleotide ribosomal RNA is filed under the name uncultured eukaryote. RNAcentral describes it as "partial 18S ribosomal RNA". It matches the Rfam family "Eukaryotic small subunit ribosomal RNA", at positions 592 to 976 of the family's 1831-position model. The record is from RNAcentral.